Molecule: ribosomal RNA, 574 nt
Filed under: Rhodotorula mucilaginosa
Lineage: Eukaryota; Fungi; Basidiomycota; Microbotryomycetes; Sporidiobolales; Sporidiobolaceae
Description: eukaryotic LSU rRNA
Rfam family: Eukaryotic large subunit ribosomal RNA
Source: RNAcentral
AAAGAAACUAACAAGGAUUCCCCUAGUAGCGGCGAGCGAAGCGGGAAGAGCUCAAAUUUAUAAUCUGGCACCUUCGGUGUCCGAGUUGUAAUCUCUAGAAAUGUUUUCCGCGUUGGACCGCACACAAGUCUGUUGGAAUACAGCGGCAUAGUGGUGAGACCCCCGUAUAUGGUGCGGACGCCCAGCGCUUUGUGAUACAUUUUCGAAGAGUCGAGUUGUUUGGGAAUGCAGCUCAAAUUGGGUGGUAAAUUCCAUCUAAAGCUAAAUAUUGGCGAGAGACCGAUAGCGAACAAGUACCGUGAGGGAAAGAUGAAAAGCACUUUGGAAAGAGAGUUAACAGUACGUGAAAUUGUUGGAAGGGAAACGCUUGAAGUCAGACUUGCUUGCCGAGCAAUCGGUUUGCAGGCCAGCAUCAGUUUUCCGGGAUGGAUAAUGGUAGAGAGAAGGUAGCAGUUUCGGCUGUGUUAUAGCUCUCUGCUGGAUACAUCUUGGGGGACUGAGGAACGCAGUGUGCCUUUGGCGGGGGUUUCGACCUCUUCACACUUAGGAUGCUGGUGGAAUGGCUUUAAACGAC